This 497-nucleotide ribosomal RNA is filed under the name uncultured bacterium. RNAcentral's name for it is "partial 16S ribosomal RNA". It matches the Rfam family "Bacterial small subunit ribosomal RNA", at positions 28 to 507 of the family's 1533-position model. The record is from RNAcentral.
GAUGAACGCUGGCGGCGUGCCUAAUACAUGCAAGUCGAGCGAACGGACGAGAAGCUUGCUUCUCUGCUGUUAGCGGCGGACGGGUGAGUAACACGUGGAUAACCUACCUAUAAGACUGGGAUAACUUCGGGGAACCGUAGCUAAUACCGGAUAAUAUUUUGAACCGCAUGGUUCAAAAGUGAAAGACGGUUUUGCUGUCACUAAUAGAUGGUUCCGCGCUGCAUUAGCUAGUUGGUAAGGUAACGGCCUACCAAGGCAACGAUGCAUAGCCGACCUGAGAGGGUGAUCGGCCACACUGGAACUGAGACACGGUCCAGACUCCUACGGGAGGCAGCAGUAGGGAAUAUUGCACAAUGGGCGAAAGCCUGACGCAGCCACGCCGCGUGAGUGAAGAAGGUCUUCGGAUCGUAAAGCUCUGUUAUUAGGGAAGAACAGAUGUAUAAGUAACUGUGGAUGUCUUGACGGUACCUAAUCAGUAAGCAACGGCUAACUACGUG